RNAcentral lists this ribosomal RNA (326 nucleotides) under uncultured bacterium. Its description in RNAcentral is "bacterial SSU rRNA". It matches the Rfam family "Bacterial small subunit ribosomal RNA", at positions 28 to 334 of the family's 1533-position model. The record is from RNAcentral.
GAUGAACGCUGGCGGCGUGCCUAACACAUGCAAGUCGAGCGAAGCACUUUGCUUGGAUUCUUCGGAUGAAGAGGAUUGUGACUGAGCGGGCGACGGGUGAAGGUAACGCGUAGGUAACCUGCCUCAUACAGGGGGAUAACAGUUAGAAAUGACUGCUAAUACCGCAUAAGACCACAGCACCGCAUGGUGCAGGGGUAAAAACUCCGGUGGUAUGAGAUGGACCCGCGUCUGAUUAGCUAGUUGGUGGGGUAACGGCCCACAAAGGCGACGAUCAGUAGCCGGCCUGAGAGGGUGAACGGCCACAUUGGGACUGAGACACGGCCCAG